UAAUUUGAGAGUUUGAUCCUGGCUCAGGACGAACGCUGGCGGCGUGCCUAAUACAUGCAAGUCGAACGAACUCUGGUAUUGAUUGGUGCUUGCAUCAUGAUUUACAUUUGAGUGAGUGGCGAACUGGUGAGUAACACGUGGGAAACCUGCCCAGAAGCGGGGGAUAACACCUGGAAACAGAUGCUAAUACCGCAUAACAACUUGGACCGCAUGGUCCGAGUUUGAAAGAUGGCUUCGGCUAUCACUUUUGGAUGGUCCCGCGGCGUAUUAGCUAGAUGGUGGGGUAACGGCUCACCAUGGCAAUGAUACGUAGCCGACCUGAGAGGGUAAUCGGCCACAUUGGGACUGAGACACGGCCCAAACUCCUACGGGAGGCAGCAGUAGGGAAUCUUCCACAAUGGACGAAAGUCUGAUGGAGCAACGCCGCGUGAGUGAAGAAGGGUUUCGGCUCGUAAAACUCUGUUGUUAAAGAAGAA
This 476-nucleotide ribosomal RNA is filed under the name Lactiplantibacillus plantarum. Its description in RNAcentral is "bacterial SSU rRNA". It matches the Rfam family "Bacterial small subunit ribosomal RNA", at positions 1 to 449 of the family's 1533-position model. Lineage: Bacteria; Bacillati; Bacillota; Bacilli; Lactobacillales; Lactobacillaceae. The record is from RNAcentral.